CCUUGCUCACUGAGUUCACCAGGACAAAAGAUCUCUAUUGCUGUCUGAAAAAACAGUAUAAAAUAUUUUUAUUAGUAUAAAAGGAAUUUAUAAGUCUUAAUUUUAAAAAUAAAAUGUGUUUGGAUUUAAUCAGAAGUAUAUGCUCAUUAAAACCUUAAGUGGUCUAUGUUGUGUUGCAACUUGUACUUUAAACAAGCUUAAAGCAUUUAACAAGGGGACCCUGUACUGCUAAAUAUACUACAUGCGAGCCAUGUCAACCAACCAGAUAUAAAGGCGUGGCAAGAGAAUGAAGUGGGUGGUUAUCCCAGGAGCA
RNAcentral lists this long non-coding RNA (313 nucleotides) under Crocodylus porosus (Australian saltwater crocodile). RNAcentral's name for it is "lncRNA (ENSCPRG00005007066.1)". The record is from RNAcentral. Lineage: Eukaryota; Metazoa; Chordata; Crocodylia; Crocodylidae.